Molecule: ribosomal RNA, 358 nt
Filed under: Klebsiella oxytoca
Lineage: Bacteria; Pseudomonadati; Pseudomonadota; Gammaproteobacteria; Enterobacterales; Enterobacteriaceae
Also listed under: 1 other name
Description: partial 23S ribosomal RNA
Rfam family: Bacterial large subunit ribosomal RNA
Source: RNAcentral
GGGUUGUGAGGUUAAGCGACUAAGCGUACACGGUGGAUGCCCUGGCAGUCAGAGGCGAUGAAGGACGUGCUAAUCUGCGAAAAGCGUCGGUAAGGUGAUAUGAACCGUUACAGCCGGCGAUGUCCGAAUGGGGAAACCCAGUGCAAUUCGUUGCACUAUCGUUAACUGAAUACAUAGGUUAACGAGGCGAACCGGGGGAACUGAAACAUCUAAGUACCCCGAGGAAAAGAAAUCAACCGAGAUUCCCCCAGUAGCGGCGAGCGAACGGGGAGCAGCCCGGAGUCUGAAUCAGCUUGUGUGUUAGUGGAAGCGUCUGGAAAGUCGCAGGGUACAGGGUGAUACUCCCGUACACUAAAAC